RNAcentral lists this ribosomal RNA (445 nucleotides) under uncultured bacterium. RNAcentral describes it as "partial 16S ribosomal RNA". It matches the Rfam family "Bacterial small subunit ribosomal RNA", at positions 354 to 796 of the family's 1533-position model. The record is from RNAcentral.
GUGAGGAAUAUUGCGCAAUGGAGGCAACUCUGACGCAGCCAUGCCGCGUGCAGGAAGAAGGCGCUACGCGUUGUAAACUGCUUUUAACCGGGAAGAAACCCCAGGACGUGUCCUGGGUUGACGGUACCGGAGGAAUAAGCACCGGCUAACUUCGUGCCAGCAGCCGCGGUAAUACGAAGGGUGCAAGCGUUAUCCGGAUUCAUUGGGUUUAAAGGGUGCGUAGGCGGAGCGUUAAGUCAGUGGUGAAAUCCUGCAGCUGAACUGUAGACGUGCCAUUGAUACUGGCGCUCUUGAGUGCGCUUGAAGUGGGCGGAAUGUGCCGUGUAGCGGUGAAAUGCUUAGAUAUGGCACAGAACACCAAUUGCGAAGGCAGCUCACUAAGGCGAUACUGACGCUGAGGCACGAAAGCGUAGGGAUCGAACAGGAUUAGAAACCCGGGUAGUCC